CCCGCUGAACUUAAGCAUAUCAAUAAGCGGAGGAAAAGAAACCAACAAGGAUUCCCCUAGUAACUGCGAGUGAAGAGGGAAGAGCUCAAAUUUAAAAUCUGUCAGUUUUUAGCUGACCGAGUUGUAAAUUAGAGAAGUGCUAUCAGCGCUGGCCUGUGCAAAAGUCUCUUGGAAAAGAGCAUCAUAGAGGGUGACAAUCCCGUCUUUGGUACAGAGCUCCAGGGCUACAUGAUGUGCUCUCAAUGAGUCGAGUUGUUUGGGAAUGCAGCUCUAAAUGGGUGGUAAAUUCCAUCUAAAGCUAAAUAUUGGCGAGAAACCGAUAGCGCACAAGUACCGUGAGGGAAAGAUGAAAAGAACUUUGAAAAGAGAGUUAAACAGUACGUGAAAUUGUUGAAAGGGAAACGCUUGAAGUCAGUCGUGUCCUUCAGAAAUCAACCUGACUUUGGUCUGGCUUAUUUUCUGUUGGAUGGGUCAGCAUCAAUUUUGAUCAUUGGAUAAAGACCUUGGGAAAGUGGCAUCUCUGGAUGUGUUAUAGCCCUGGGAUCACAUACAAUGGUUGGGAUUGAGGAACUCAGUGUGAAUUUGGGGUGUACUCACAACACGCACUUAGGAUGCUGGCAUAAUGGCUUUAAUCGACCCGUCUUGAAACACGG
This 653-nucleotide ribosomal RNA is filed under the name uncultured fungus. RNAcentral describes it as "eukaryotic LSU rRNA". It matches the Rfam family "Eukaryotic large subunit ribosomal RNA", at positions 24 to 664 of the family's 3401-position model. Lineage: Eukaryota; Fungi. The record is from RNAcentral.